RNAcentral lists this Y RNA (92 nucleotides) under Propithecus coquereli (Coquerel's sifaka). RNAcentral describes it as "Y RNA (ENSPCOG00000010569.1)". It matches the Rfam family "Y RNA". Rfam says of the family: Y RNAs are components of the Ro ribonucleoprotein particle (Ro RNP), in association with Ro60 and La proteins. The Y RNAs and Ro60 and La proteins are well conserved, but the function of the Ro RNP is not known. In humans the RNA component can be one of four small RNAs -- hY1, hY3, hY4 and hY5. The record is from Rfam by way of RNAcentral. Lineage: Eukaryota; Metazoa; Chordata; Mammalia; Primates; Indriidae.
GGCUGGUCCGAUGGUAGUGGGUUAUCAGAACUUACUAACAUUAGCGCCAUUAAAAUUGGUAUACAACCCCCCACUGCUACAUUUGGCUUUAA